GAUAAACGCUGGCGGCGCACAUAAGACAUGCAAGUCGAACGGACAGAAGUUAUUUGUUUACAAAUGACAGAUGUUAGUGGCGGACUGGUGAGUAAUGCGUAAGUAACCUGCCUAUCAGAGGGGAAUAACAAUGAGAAAUCAUUGCUAAUACCGCAUAUGCUCACAGUAGCACAUGCUACAGUGAGGAAAGGAGCAAUCCGCUGAUAGAUGGACUUACGUCUGAUUAGCUAGUUGGUUAGGUAACGGCUGACCAAGGCGACGAUCAGUAGCCGGACUGAGAGGUUAAACGGCCACAUUGGGACUGAGAUACGGCCCAG
This 317-nucleotide ribosomal RNA is filed under the name uncultured bacterium. Its description in RNAcentral is "bacterial SSU rRNA". It matches the Rfam family "Bacterial small subunit ribosomal RNA", at positions 28 to 334 of the family's 1533-position model. The record is from RNAcentral.